GUUUGAUCAUGGCUCAGGAUGAACGCUGGCGGCGUGCCUAAUACAUGCAAGUCGAACGAACUUCCGUUAAUUGAUUAUGAGGUGCUUGCACUGAAUGAGAUUUUAACACGAAGUGAGUGGCGGACGGGUGAGUAACACGUGGGUAACCUGCCCAGAAGCAGGGGAUAACACCUGGAAACAGAUGCUAAUACCGUAUAACAGAGAAAACCGCCUGGUUUUCUUUUAAAAGAUGGCUCUGCUAUCACUUCUGGAUGGACCCGCGGCGCAUUAGCUAGUUGGUGAGGUAACGGCUCACCAAGGCGAUGAUGCGUAGCCGACCUGAGAGGGUAAUCGGCCACAUUGGGACUGAGACACGGCCCAGACUCCUACGGGAGGCAGCAGUAGGGAAUCUUCCACAAUGGACGCAAGUCUGAUGGAGCAACGCCGCGUGAGUGAAGAAGGGUUUCGGCUCGUAAAGCUCUGUUGUUAAAGAAGAACGUGGGUGAGAGUAACUGUUCACCCAGUGACGGUAUUUAACCAGAAAGCCACGGCUAACUACGUGCCAGCAGCCGCGGUAAUACGUAGGUGGCAAGCGUUAUCCGGAUUUAUUGGGCGUAAAGCGAGCGCAGGCGGUCUUUUAAGUCUAAUGUGAAAGCCUUCGGCUCAACCGAAGAAGUGCAUUGGAAACUGGGAGACUUGAGUGCAGAAGAGGACAGUGGAACUCCAUGUGUAGCGGUGAAAUGCGUAGAUAUAUGGAAGAACACCAGUGGCGAAGGCGGCUGUCUGGUCUGUAACUGACGCUGAGGCUCGAAAGCAUGGGUAGCGAACAGGAUUAGAUACCCUGGUAGUCCAUGCCGUAAACGAUGAUUACUAAGUGUUGGAGGGUUUCCGCCCUUCAGUGCUGCAGCUAACGCAUUAAGUAAUCCGCCUGGGGAGUACGACCGCAAGGUUGAAACUCAAAAGAAUUGACGGGGGCCCGCACAAGCGGUGGAGCAUGUGGUUUAAUUCGAAGCUACGCGAAGAACCUUACCAGGUCUUGACAUCUUCUGCCAACCUAAGAGAUUAGGCGUUCCCUUCGGGGACAGAAUGACAGGUGGUGCAUGGUUGUCGUCAGCUCGUGUCGUGAGAUGUUGGGUUAAGUCCCGCAACGAGCGCAACCCUUAUUACUAGUUGCCAGCAUUCAGUUGGGCACUCUAGUGAGACUGCCGGUGAC
Molecule: ribosomal RNA, 1192 nt
Filed under: Pediococcus sp. MF23
Lineage: Bacteria; Bacillati; Bacillota; Bacilli; Lactobacillales; Lactobacillaceae
Description: bacterial SSU rRNA
Rfam family: Bacterial small subunit ribosomal RNA
Source: RNAcentral